UUUACAUCAAUUUCUAAAAUACCUAAAAUCUGGGCUUGUUCAAAAUUAUUAUUAUUUUUUUUUUUUUAAAUUGAAAACGAAUCAAAAUGAAAUUCAAGACGAAAAAGGUGCAGUUGGUAAAGAAAACUUGAAAACUGAAAGCGAAAUUUUUUAAAUACAAGCCUUUUAGUCUUUUAGAUCUGUUCUUUCUUCUAGCAUUGAUUCAAUGGUAGGUAGAGAAAAGAAGGGGACUUAAGGGUGGUAGUUAAUUGCGGUAAUGAAAAGCAAACACUUACGUCAAGGGGCUUCUUCAGUACAAUCCAUCCUGAUUCCGCUUGUAUAUCGAAAUAUUCCAAAUCAUUGGGAUUAAAUGGAGCACUUAGACUAUAGACAAUGGCACCAUUAUUAUCGGCAUCCUCGUCGGAAGCGGAGACACAAAUUAAAUUAUUAUUCUGAAGGCAUUCAAAACGAAAUGCAAAACUUACCUGACGAUCGAAUAGUGGUGGAUUAUCAUUCACAUCCGUUAUCUCUACAGUGAAUGAGCAAACUCCUUCCAGGCUAGGAUCACCCUGAUCAGUUGCUUUCACUGUCACGGAUACAAAUUUUCCAUCAUCACCUUCACGAUCGAAUACUUUGUUGGUAGACACUUCGCCUGUCUCCUCAUCGACAGUGAAUUUGGUGCCCUUUUGAUUCGGUUGCUGAACUAUGGAGUAUUUCACCUGCAACCAGAGAGAGACAGAGAGAGAGAAAAAUUCAAUUAAAAGUGAUUGACACAAAUUGUUAAAAGGCGUCGCCCAUCACCCAGCACACAACAUGCAAUCCUUUCAAGUGCAUUGAACUUGUGGGGGGGGAGCUAAAAAGGGCAAACAAGGAAUGGCAAAUCUUGUCAUGAAAUCUCUUGACACAACACGCGGCUAAUGCCAAUUAGGCUGUAAUCGUGUUAUGAGUGGCCUAAAAAAACAUGCAUCAAAUAAACCAUAAUUAAUUGCAAAA
Drosophila willistoni is the source of this 972-nucleotide long non-coding RNA. RefSeq lists it as uncharacterized. NCBI's taxonomy places the organism in Eukaryota, Metazoa, Arthropoda, Insecta, Diptera, Drosophilidae. The transcript is spliced from 3 exons. The record is from RefSeq and is a predicted model, not a curated record.